Long non-coding RNA from Girardinichthys multiradiatus, 287 nucleotides. RefSeq lists it as uncharacterized. Lineage: Eukaryota; Metazoa; Chordata; Actinopteri; Cyprinodontiformes; Goodeidae. The record is from RefSeq and is a predicted model, not a curated record. The transcript has 3 exons.
GUUAGCAUGAAGCCCAGAGCUGUGAAGCCGAACAAAUGGAGCCUGAAGGGGAAACCCAGCGGUAUUUUGAAAACAAUGUGCCGGGAGUCAGAUGUUCUCUCGGGGUUUAGCGCACCUCAACCACCCGGUCAGAUGACUGACGAGGCGAGGCGAGCAGCUGCUGGGGCAGCGGACGAACACAUCUGCGCAUUUGUGCAAUUAAGCGAUAUCUUGAUAAACCGAUCAGAUAUUUUAGCCAUUGCUACUUCCGUUUGAACAAUCUACUUCGACCCGCAAUGGAUCAUGGG